AUUGGAGACCGGUCAAAAACAUUGCAAAGUCGAGCGGAUGAAGGGAGCUUGCUCCUGGAUUCAGCGGCGGACGGGUGAGUAAUGCCUAGGAAUCUGCCUGGUAGUGGGGGAUAACGUCCGGAAACGGGCGCUAAUACCGCAUACGUCCUGAGGGAGAAAGUGGGGGAUCUUCGGACCUCACGCUAUCAGAUGAGCCUAGGUCGGAAUAACUAGUUGGUGGGGUAAAGGCCUACCAAGGCGACGAUCCGUAACUGGUCUGAGAGGAUGAUCAGUCACACUGGAACUGAGACACGGUCCAGACUCCUACGGGAGGCAGCAGUGGGGAAUAUUGGACAAUGGGCGAAAGCCUGAUCCAGCCAUGCCGCGUGUGUGAAGAAGGUCUUCGGAUUGUAAAGCACUUUAAGUUGGGAGGAAGGGCAGUAAGUUAAUACCUUGCUGUUUUGACGUUACCAAUUUUAAUAAGCACCGGCUAACUUCCUGCCAGCAGCCGCGGUAAUACGAAGGGUGCCACCCCUCAAUCGGAAUUACUGGGCGUAAAGCGCGCGUAGGUGGUUCAGCAAGUUGGAUGUGAAAAUCCCCGGGCUCAACCUGGGAACUGCAUCCAAAACUACUGAGCUAGAGUACGGUAUAGUGGUGGUGGAAAUUUCCUGUGUAGCGGUGAAAUGCGUAGAUAUAGGAAGGAACACCAGUGGCGAAGGCGACCACCUGGACUGAUACUGACACUUGAGGUGCUAAAGCCGUGGGGAGCAAAACAGGAUUAUAUACCCUGUGUUAGUUCCCACGCCCGUUAAGUAUGCCAAACUAUAGCGUAUGAGGGAUCUCUUGAGAAUCUUAUGUUG
RNAcentral lists this ribosomal RNA (839 nucleotides) under Pseudomonas aeruginosa. Its description in RNAcentral is "bacterial SSU rRNA". It matches the Rfam family "Bacterial small subunit ribosomal RNA", at positions 33 to 846 of the family's 1533-position model. Lineage: Bacteria; Pseudomonadati; Pseudomonadota; Gammaproteobacteria; Pseudomonadales; Pseudomonadaceae. The record is from RNAcentral.